RNAcentral lists this ribosomal RNA (465 nucleotides) under uncultured bacterium. RNAcentral's name for it is "partial 16S ribosomal RNA". It matches the Rfam family "Bacterial small subunit ribosomal RNA", at positions 338 to 795 of the family's 1533-position model. The record is from RNAcentral.
CCUACGGGAGGCAGCAGUAGGGAAUCUUCCACAAUGGGCGAAAGCCUGAUGGAGCAACGCCGCGUGGGUGAAGAAGGUCUUCGGAUCGUAAAACCCUGUUGUUAGAGAAGAAAGUGCGUGAGAGUAACUGUUCACGUUUCGACGGUAUCUAACCAGAAAGCCACGGCUAACUACGUGCCAGCAGCCGCGGUAAUACGUAGGUGGCAAGCGUUGUCCGGAUUUGUUGGGCGUAAAGGGAACGCAGGCGGUCUUUUAAGUCUGAUGUGAAAGCCUUCGGCUUAACCGGAGUAGUGCAUUGGAAACGGGGAGACUUGAGUGCAGAAGAGGAGGGUGGAACUCCAUGUGUAGCGGUGAAAUGCGUAGAUAUAUGGAAGAACACCGGUGGCGAAGGCGGCUUACUGGACCGUAACUGACGUUGAGGCUCGAAAGCGUGGGGAGCAAACAGGAUUAGAUACCCUGGUAGUC